Long non-coding RNA from Alexandromys fortis (reed vole), 970 nucleotides. RefSeq lists it as uncharacterized. NCBI's taxonomy places the organism in Eukaryota, Metazoa, Chordata, Mammalia, Rodentia, Cricetidae. The record is from RefSeq and is a predicted model, not a curated record. The transcript has 2 exons.
GAUGUGGGAGUGUCAUAUAUCAAUCUGUUGAUUUCAUUGGUUAAAUUAUAAUAAACCAACUGCUUGGCCUCAGCUUAGAACAUAGAUGGGAGGAGUAAACAGAAUAGAAUUCUGGGCGGAAGAGGAAGUGAGGUCAGACUCUGCUCUGCUCCUGGAGAGACCCGACAGCUCUGCUGGAGCAGAGACGCCAUGCUCAGCUCUCCCGGGUAGACGCGAUAGCUCUGCUCUCUGAGGCACACGCAAUGAAGAUGGACAUAGGCUAGAAUCUUCCUGCAAAUUUGCUGCCCAAAGACAAAGGCCAGGAAAGCAGAAGCAUGAGCUGCUUCCCAGACCCAGCAAUGGUCAGACGGCAUAAAGCUGUGUUACCUGCACGACAACUGAUGUCCACCACAAACCUCUUCAGCCUAAGACACAGAAAGCUGCACAGACAGGCAGCUUCGUCUUCACGGCCGUGAGGUUGCUGAGGACAACGCACACGGAAUACUAAACGCACCCCAGAGAAGUCCCACUACUGCCACCUGCUUACUGCUCUGCCGUCUGCGGUGAUUUCUCUCCAGGGCAAGGCUGUGUGUGUGUCUGUUACCAAGCAUACACAUACAAGACAGAAUUCAGAGAGUGCGGCUCCGCGGGGGGGGGGGAACAGGAGUCAUGGGCAAAUCAUUUUCACAGGGAUGGGAAACUCUCUAGCUGGAAAAUAUGGCUUUGCGACCUCCCCGGGAGGAAAGAACGGGCUGAAAUUUCGCUGGGGCUGCAGCUUGUAUUUUGAGAAAAAGAAAUGCUUAUUUUGAGACGCUCGUUGGGUUCAGCGUCACCAGGGCUUGGCGGAACCAGUUUUGUCCUAGGUUUGAAAUGUCAUCUUUGGGUCCCAGACCUCCUCCUGCCUCUUGAAGUCACCCUAGACCUCAUCAAACAAUAAAAAUAAAAACCGGUAGUAUUAGUACAUGUGUGAAAAAAAAAAAAAACACAAAAA